UACAGAGGUCUCAAGCGUUGUUCGGAUUCAUUGGGCGUAAAGGGUGCGUAGGUGGUGCUGUAAGUCAGGUGUGAAAUCUCGGGGCUCAACCCCGAAACUGCACUUGAUACUGCAGUGCUCGAGGACUGGAGAGGAGAUUGGAAUUCAUGGUGUAGCAGUGAAAUGCGUAGAUAUCUGGAGGAACACCGGUGGCGAAGGCGGCGUUCUGGACUGCAACUGACACUGAGAAACGAAAGCCAGGGGAGCAAACGGG
RNAcentral lists this ribosomal RNA (253 nucleotides) under uncultured bacterium. RNAcentral's name for it is "partial 16S ribosomal RNA". It matches the Rfam family "Bacterial small subunit ribosomal RNA", at positions 524 to 776 of the family's 1533-position model. The record is from RNAcentral.